Molecule: non-coding RNA, 259 nt
Filed under: Otolemur garnettii (small-eared galago)
Lineage: Eukaryota; Metazoa; Chordata; Mammalia; Primates; Galagidae
Source: Rfam by way of RNAcentral
GCCGGGUGUUGUGGUGGGCGCCUGUAGUCCCAGCUACUUGGGAGGCAGAGGCAGGAGAAUCGCUUGAGCCCAGGAACUGGAGGUUGUUGUGAGCUAUGAUGCCACGGCACUCUACCCAGGGCAAUAGCUUGAGGCUCUGUUUCCUUUUCUUUGUUUUUUUUUUUUUUUUUGAGACGGAGCCUCAAGCUAUCCCCCUGGGUAGAGUGCCAUGGCAUCACGCUCACAGCAACCUCCAACUCAAGCGAGUCUCCUGCCUCAG